GACGAACGCUGGCGGCGUGGAUUAGGCAUGCAAGUCGGACGGUAGGGCUUUAUCGUAAGAUAGAGUUUGAGAGUGGCGAACGGGUGAGUAACACGUAGGAAUCUACCCUUAAGACGGGGACAACCCAGGGAAACUUGGGCUAAUACCGGAUGAGAGUGCGAGAGAUUGCAUUUAAAGGAUGGCGAAAGUUGUCGCUUAGGGAUGAGCCUGCGGUCUAUUAGUUAGUUGGUGAGGUAACGGCUCACCUAGGCAAUGAUAGGUAGGCGGCCUUAACGGGUGGUCGCCCACACUGGGAUUGAGAUACGGCCCAGACUCCUACGGGAGGCAGCAGUCGAGAAUAGUCUACAAUGGUCGGAAGACUGAUAGUGCGACGCCGCGUGAACGAUGAAUCCCUUCGGGGUGUAAAGUUCUUUUAUAUGUGAGCAGUGCUUCUUAUAUUAACAGUAUGGGGAGAGAGAUAUUAGCAUAUGAAUAAGCAACGGCUAACUCCGUG
RNAcentral lists this ribosomal RNA (493 nucleotides) under uncultured bacterium. RNAcentral describes it as "bacterial SSU rRNA". It matches the Rfam family "Bacterial small subunit ribosomal RNA", at positions 28 to 507 of the family's 1533-position model. The record is from RNAcentral.